GACGAACGCUGGCGGCGUGCUUAACACAUGCAAGUCGAACGGAAAGGCCCUGCUUGCAGGGUGCUCGAGUGGCGAACGGGUGAGUAACACGUGUGUGAUCUGCCCCUUAUUUUGGGAUAAGCCUGGGAAACUGGGUCUAAUACUGGAUAGGACCAUGCUGUAGGUGGUGUGGUGGAAAGAUUAGUUUCGGUAAGGGAUGAGCUCGCGGCCUAUCAGCUUGUUGGUGGGGUAAUGGCCUACCAAGGCGUCGACGGGUAGCCGGCCUGAGAGGGUGGACGGCCACAUUGGGACUGAGAUACGGCCCAGACUCCUACGGGAGGCAGCAGUGGGGAAUAUUGCACAAUGGGCGCAAGCCUGAUGCAGCGACGCCGCGUGGGGGAUGACGGCCUUCGGGUUGUAAACUCCUUUCAGCCAUGACGAAGCCCUUGUGGUGACGGUAGUGGUAGAAGAAGCACCGGCUAACUACGUG
RNAcentral lists this ribosomal RNA (469 nucleotides) under uncultured bacterium. RNAcentral describes it as "partial 16S ribosomal RNA". It matches the Rfam family "Bacterial small subunit ribosomal RNA", at positions 28 to 507 of the family's 1533-position model. The record is from RNAcentral.